UACGGAGGGUGCAAGCAUUAAUCGGAUUUAUUGGGCGUAAAGGGCGCGUAGGCGGAGAUAUAAGUCAGAUGUGAAAUCCUGGGGCUCAACCCCAGAACUGCAUUUGAAACUGUAUCCCUAGAGGAUAGGAGGAGAAAACGGAAUUCCACAAGUAGCGGUGAAAUGCGUAGAUAUGUGGAAGAACACCGGUGGCGAAGGCGGUUUUCUAUCUUAUUCCUGACGCUGAGGCGCGAAAGCAAGGGGAUCAAACAGG
Molecule: ribosomal RNA, 253 nt
Filed under: uncultured bacterium
Lineage: Bacteria
Description: partial 16S ribosomal RNA
Rfam family: Bacterial small subunit ribosomal RNA
Source: RNAcentral